GUGUGUAGAAGGAUCCUGUAG
RNAcentral lists this non-coding RNA (21 nucleotides) under Mus musculus (house mouse). The record is from RNAcentral. Lineage: Eukaryota; Metazoa; Chordata; Mammalia; Rodentia; Muridae.